RNAcentral lists this long non-coding RNA (1070 nucleotides) under Vitis vinifera (wine grape). RNAcentral's name for it is "long non-coding RNA (VVIN_LNC000036)". Lineage: Eukaryota; Viridiplantae; Streptophyta; Magnoliopsida; Vitales; Vitaceae. The record is from RNAcentral.
UAAAAAAUAUAGAAAGACAGAUGUCAAUUAUGAUAUUAACAUAAGGAGGUGUGAAAAGAAAAUGGUUGGGAAUCUAGGGAUGAGAUGGAGUCCACGUUGUAAAAAUGACGCGCUAGCGAAGUGAAGUGUACUGUACACCUCAUGAAUUUUGUAAACUGCUUUGUUAGUUCCCUUACUUUUAUUUGCAGCGCUGUGCCUUGAAACAUAUCUGAUAGAAUCUCACUAUAAAUGGGGGCCGAGGACUUCUCAUGAGCAUCGGCAACUAAUUAAGAAAACACCAAGAGAUGGGUGCAGUUGGCAAGGCUUUCCUCAUCGUCUGCAUUCUCUUAUUCGUUCCUUCCGAGGCCCUGGUGGUGUCCAAUGCUCUGAAACCUUUCACAAACACAGCAUAGAACUGGUAAGACCGAGCCUUUUUCCAUAUUUUAUUUCUAUAGAUAAAAACAAUCAAUAUUUUAGAAGGAUUAAUCAGCAUAUUGUUUUUCAUAAUUUAUCUGAUAAACUUUGCUUCUUUGUUGAGAAUGGUCAAGAAACUGUGGGAGAACUUGCCCGAGUGGUCCAGUUCAUGCCCCCAUAGCACGUUGCAGCCCUGCAGAUAAAGAUCAUGGCUGCAGAAGGCCUCCAGCUCCGUGAAUUUGGUCUCUUAUUCUUAUGGUGUUCUUGGCAGUCAUGAAAGUAGUAAAGCAAUAAAUUGGGUCAUCGUCUCUAUAUGUGAAUUCUCACAAGUGGACUCUUGGAUGCAUAUGUGAAUCUGUAUAUAAGCGAAAAUGAAAAGGUACAGUGUCUCGUUCUAAUGGUGUUGUAUAUAUAUGUAACGUAAUGGUGUCUAAGAAGAAUUAAUCAACAUGUUGUUUUAGUGUGGAUUAAUUUGCCUCUGUAAUUAAUGAUAAUAAAUUCAUAUAUAUCCUAGAAAUUUUGAGGUAUUAUCAGCUCAUACGUAGAUUCAGCACCACGCUACCACGCUAACACUCAGCCAUGCAUUUGGCAUAGAAUAUCGAAUUCCAAAUGAAAGUACCAAGUGUCAUCAGCUUCAGUACUUUUACUCAAUUGUGGAAAUUGCUACCUAAUUGUAC